RNAcentral lists this ribosomal RNA (407 nucleotides) under Annelida sp. MM00897. RNAcentral's name for it is "SSU rRNA". It matches the Rfam family "Eukaryotic small subunit ribosomal RNA", at positions 592 to 998 of the family's 1831-position model. RNAcentral also lists the same sequence under 1 other name. The record is from RNAcentral. Lineage: Eukaryota; Metazoa; Annelida.
CAAUAGCGUAUAUUAAAGUUGUUGCAGUUAAAAAGCUCGUAGUUGGACGUGGGGAGCAGCCCGGCGGUCCGCUCGACGGCGGUCACUGCCGCGGUCCUGCUCCUUGCUUGCCGGCGUGUGCGGGGUGCUCUUGGUUGAGUGCCCCGUGCUGCCGGGACGUUUACUUUGAAAAAAUUAGAGUGUUCAAAGCAGGCGUUUCGCCUGAAUACUGGUGCAUGGAAUAAUGGAACAGGACCUCGCUUCUGGUUUCGUUGGUUUUACGAAGUCGAGGUAAUGAUUAAUAGGGACCGACGGGGGCAUUUGUAUUGCGCCGUUAGAGGUGAAAUUCUUGGAUCGGCGCAAGACAAACUAGAGCGAAGGCGUUUGCCAAGCACGUCUUCAUUAAUCAAGAGCGACAGUCAGAGGUU